UAAUACGUAGGGGGCAAGCGUUGUCCGGAUUUACUGGGUGUAAAGGGUGCUCAGGUGGUUUUGUAAGUCAGAGGUGAAAUUUCGGGGCUCAACCCCGGACCUGCCUUUGAUACUGCAAAGCUUGUGUACGGAAGAGGUUGAUGGAAUUUCUGGUGUAGCAGUGAAAUGCGUAGAUAUCAGAAAGAACACCAGUGGCGAAGGCGGUCAACUGGUCCGGUACAGACACUAAAGCACGAAAGCAUGGGGAGCAAACAGGAUUAGAUACCCUGGUAGUCCAUGCCCUAAACGAUGAAUACUAGACGUUGGGUGUUAAAACUCAGUGUCGCAGCUAACGCAUUAAGUAUUCCACCUGGGGAGUACGAUCGCAAGGUUG
Molecule: ribosomal RNA, 373 nt
Filed under: uncultured bacterium
Lineage: Bacteria
Description: bacterial SSU rRNA
Rfam family: Bacterial small subunit ribosomal RNA
Source: RNAcentral